This 22-nucleotide non-coding RNA is filed under the name Arabidopsis thaliana (thale cress). The record is from RNAcentral. Lineage: Eukaryota; Viridiplantae; Streptophyta; Magnoliopsida; Brassicales; Brassicaceae.
UAUUAAUUCCAGAGAUAUUCGC